RNAcentral lists this ribosomal RNA (639 nucleotides) under uncultured Streptomyces sp. RNAcentral's name for it is "bacterial SSU rRNA". It matches the Rfam family "Bacterial small subunit ribosomal RNA", at positions 223 to 872 of the family's 1533-position model. Lineage: Bacteria; Bacillati; Actinomycetota; Actinomycetes; Kitasatosporales; Streptomycetaceae. The record is from RNAcentral.
GGAUGAGCCCGCGGCCUAUCAGCUUGUUGGUGAGGUAACGGCUCACCAAGGCGACGACGGGUAGCCGGCCUGAGAGGGCGACCGGCCACACUGGGACUGAGACACGGCCCAGACUCCUACGGGAGGCAGCAGUGGGGAAUAUUGCACAAUGGGCGAAAGCCUGAUGCAGCGACGCCGCGUGAGGGAUGACGGCCUUCGGGUUGUAAACCUCUUUCAGCAGGGAAGAAGCGAAAGUGACGGUACCUGCAGAAGAAGCGCCGGCUAACUACGUGCCAGCAGCCGCGGUAAUACGUAGGGCGCAAGCGUUGUCCGGAAUUAUUGGGCGUAAAGAGCUCGUAGGCGGCUUGUCACGUCGGUUGUGAAAGCCCGGGGCUUAACCCCGGGUCUGCAGUCGAUACGGGCAGGCUAGAGUUCGGUAGGGGAGAUCGGAAUUCCUGGUGUAGCGGUGAAAUGCGCAGAUAUCAGGAGGAACACCGGUGGUGAAGGCGGAUCUCUGGGCCGAUACUGACGCUGAGGAGCGAAAGCGUGGGGAGCGAACAGGAUUAGAUACCCUGGUAGUCCACGCCGUAAACGGUGGGCACUAGGUGUGGGCAACAUUCCACGUUGUCCGUGCCGCAGCUAACGCAUUAAGUGCCCCGC